Molecule: ribosomal RNA, 363 nt
Filed under: uncultured bacterium
Lineage: Bacteria
Description: partial 16S ribosomal RNA
Rfam family: Bacterial small subunit ribosomal RNA
Source: RNAcentral
CCUACGGGAGGCAGCAGUGAGGAAUAUUGGUCAAUGGACGGAAGUCUGAACCAGCCAUGCCGCGUGCAGGAAGACGGCUCUAUGGGUUGUAAACUGCUUUUGUACGAGGGUAAACCUGAAUACGUGUAUUCAGAUGAAAGUACUGUACGAAUAAGGAUCGGCUAACUCCGUGCCAGCAGCCGCGGUAAUACGGAGGGUCCAAGCGUUAUCCGGAUUUAUUGGGGUUAAAGGGUGCGUAGGCGGAAUGAAAAGGUAGGGGGUAAAUGUCCAGGCUUAACUCGGGAACUGCCUCUAAUACUGUCGAGCUAGAGAGUAGAUGCGGUAGGCGGAAUUCAUGGUGUAGCGGUGAAAUGCUUAGAGAUC